CUAGUGUUUUUAUCCUCUGACGUUUCUCACUGUGCUUGUGCCUAAGUGGCAAAUACUUUAGUUCGUGGAAAACGGUAUAUCUCAGCACUUCCUUAUAAUAUCCUAAAAUUAUUUACAGACAUAUUGUGCAUUUUUGAGCGGUACAGGAGACUAAGUGGUCUGAAAAAGGACCACUGGGUGGCGGAAUGGUUCGCUGGCCGGAAAAAUAGCCAGGCAAACCCAGAAGUAAGACGGAGCGUCCCGGUGGUCUGUCCUCUGAACAGUAAUGAAGGUAGAUCUGGACCUGCAGGAACAUCAUCUGCUGCUAGACUUUAUUCACCAUAACAAA
Poecilia latipinna (sailfin molly) is the source of this 328-nucleotide long non-coding RNA. RefSeq lists it as uncharacterized. NCBI's taxonomy places the organism in Eukaryota, Metazoa, Chordata, Actinopteri, Cyprinodontiformes, Poeciliidae. The transcript has 2 exons. The record is from RefSeq and is a predicted model, not a curated record.